GACAGAGGGUGCAAGCGUUAAUCGGAAUUACUGGGCGUAAAGCGCAGGUAGGUGGGAUAAUUAGUCAGUUGUGAAAGGCCAGGGCUUAACCUUGGAAUUGCAAUUGAAACGGUUAUUCUAGAGGUUAGUAGAGGUGAGUGGAAUUUCCGAAGUAGCGGUGAAAUGCGUAGAGAUCGGAAGGAACACCAGUGGCGAAGGCGACUCACUGGACUAAACCUGACACUGAGCUGCGAAAGCGUGGGGAGCAAAC
RNAcentral lists this ribosomal RNA (250 nucleotides) under uncultured bacterium. RNAcentral's name for it is "partial 16S ribosomal RNA". It matches the Rfam family "Bacterial small subunit ribosomal RNA", at positions 524 to 773 of the family's 1533-position model. The record is from RNAcentral.